Molecule: transfer RNA, 63 nt
Filed under: Empoascanara plamka
Lineage: Eukaryota; Metazoa; Arthropoda; Insecta; Hemiptera; Cicadellidae
Description: tRNA-Val
Source: RNAcentral
CGAAAUGUAGCUUAUUUAAAGUUGUUUAUUUACAUUAAAUUGAAAAUUUUUAAUUCUUUUCGA